GCGGGGGAUAACUAUUGGAAACGAUAGCUAAUACCGCAUAAGAGUAAUUAACACAUGUUAGUAUUUAAAAGGAGCAAUUGCUUCACUGUGAGAUGGACCUGCGUUGUAUUAGCUAGUUGGUGAGGUAAAGGCUCACCAAGGCGACGAUACAUAGCCGACCUGAGAGGGUGAUCGGCCACACUGGGACUGAGACACGGCCCAGACUCCUACGGGAGGCAGCAGUAGGGAAUCUUCGGCAAUGGACGGAAGUCUGACCGAGCAACGCCGCGUGAGUGAAGAAGGUUUUCGGAUCGUAAAGCUCUGUUGUUAGAGAAGAACGUUGGUAGGAGUGGAAAAUCUACCAAGUGACGGUAACUAACCAGAAAAGGGACGGCUAACUACGUGCCAGCAGCCGCGGUAAAU
Molecule: ribosomal RNA, 402 nt
Filed under: uncultured Streptococcus sp.
Lineage: Bacteria; Bacillati; Bacillota; Bacilli; Lactobacillales; Streptococcaceae
Description: bacterial SSU rRNA
Rfam family: Bacterial small subunit ribosomal RNA
Source: RNAcentral